UACAGGCAUGAGCCAUUGUGCCUGGCCCAAGAUUUAUUUUUAAAAAAGAAGUCAUAUUUGAAUCCGGCACUGCUAAAAAAUGUAAUAGUUAUCUGGAAGUCAUAAGCUGUAUGAGAGGUUUCUUUAUGAAUUUAUUCGGUUCAAACUGAUAGUUAAAACAUAAUUUGGACAUAAAGAUAAACAUUUUUUAAAUGACUGGAUGUGGCCCAAAUAUGUCAUGUUAAGACAUGUAGAUUUAGGAUCCCACAGUAAUAACAUCAGACCCAUUUAGUGGGAACAGAAAGAAGCUUUUGGUCAUGCAAUAGUUAGCUGAGAUUGUGGAUAGGGAUGAGAAAAAGGAAAUGGUUAUGUUGCAAAGGAAUGGGAAGUAACGUAUGAGGUGUAUGCCAAACUUGGUUAUCUUUCUUGAUGCCCAUUACUGCCCAAAGAAGUAUGUGGUAGCAUCUCUACUCUUGAGAAGGGGGAACUGUACAUUAAAAUCAUUAGUAACUUGCUCAAAGUUAUAACAUUUCGGUGACAGAAAUGGUAUUAGAAUUCUUAUCCACCUCAAGGCCCAUGUUCUUUCCAUUCCACCAUGUUGCCAUGUGGACUCUGCCAUAGACCUGGUACCUAAGCCUUGUGUGGUUCAGGUCUCCUUGUCCCAGUUUUAUACCAAACCUUAAUUGUUUUUCUGCAGAGAACUUUUAUAAAAAGCUUCUCAUAGGACUUUAUGAGAUACCAUAGGUGGUAAGUAUGUGACUUAUCCUCAGGAGUAAAUAGUUUAAAUUCCUGGAUUGUCUAAAGUUCCAUUUACCUGGGCCUAACCAUCUGUGGUGAGGUCAUUAUAAAUGUGCUGGCAAACUCUUUCCAUUAGUGGUUCUUGCAUACAGUAUGCACUUCUUAUGUUGUUGGACUCUUUGUGUUGUUGUUCAGAAUUUACCUUAGGGGUUUUCUCAAACUCUGCAUUCUUACUCUAUAGUGGUUUUUGGCUUUCUUUUUUCUCUCCAAGCUGGGUGGAUGAUGCAGUUUCGCCUCUAGGUGUUAGGAUUCUCUUUCACACUGGUUUGUCAUGACCUUAAAGUAUUUUAAGAUGUUCCUUUUGUAAUUUUUUUUUUUAAUGUCGCGUCCUACUAAGCUAGAGAUUUGUUUUACCAAAUGAGUUUAAAAUACCAGCAGCUGGAGACUCCACAGCAUUGUCUGAGUUGACCAAAUAUAAAAACCCACCAGGUAGACAGCUUUUUAUUUUCUUGAUUUUGGUAGAGUUUUUUGGUUCCAGACCUGAAGGCUUGUUAUGCUUCUGAAUUGGCCUCUAGGUUGUAAGAGUUGCUUAAUGUGGCAUAUGAUACCAGAGAUGGAAAAAUGUUUAUGAUAACUAUAAUCAUCUUAUUAUAAAUUGCCAUCAUACUCUCUCCUGUCAGAUAAUUGAUGAGGCUUAAACGUUGUUCUGAGCUGCAACCACCCACAAAAACCACACACACGGCGUUUUACUCAAAACUUUACUUCAACCACUACUUUGUGAUGCAAAACUAGUGGAAUUUUGGGUACUUUCUGUAAAAUUGAAAUCUUUAUGGGGGUUUUCCAACAUUCUAGUUGAUUGUUAAAUUAUUAGUGUAAGGAACAAGACCAAGGCAGAGUUUGCCGAUGAACAUUGACUUCUGUGGUAGGAGAGGACACCAGUGUGCACCUGCAUAUUCUCCCUAGGAAGAAGCCACCUUGAUUGGGCCGAGGAUGGAUUCUCCCUUUGAAAAAUGCAGUUAUAUAAGAACUAUAUACACGAGAUUUGUAGUUGUGAAAGAUAAAGACUUUAGGAGCUCACUCGCUGCUUAUCUUUGCCACAAAGUUUUCGGUCUUGACAAAAUAUUCAGAGUCAAUACUUUCUAAUGUGUAGAUCCAUCAUCUCAUGAAAGAGAUUUGAAAAGAAAAAACAAAUCAAUCUGUACUGUUCCACAUGUAGGACCAAAUAAAGUUCUGCAUGAGCGCUUUGUGUAAACGCAGAACUGUUAUGGGAAACUCGUUACUGAUAUCCCCAUUCUGGAAGGGAGAUAGCAAGUGGGAAGAGCUCUCUGUAUUUUGCUUAGUCAGGAGAUCUUUGUUUAUUCUGGAGCUGAGUCCUUGGGCAAGUUACUUUACUUCUUUAGGGCUCAAUUUCUUAUCUUAUUUAAAAUAAGUUUCACUUCUGCUAUAUAGUGUCUCAAGAGCCUUCAAUAAGGGUCCUUUGUUAUUAUAUUCUGUCUUAUGUAAAGGUGACUUUUACUGUCAUAUAAUUUGUCUUCUAACAAACACGUAUGUUACCAAAAUCUGUUAAAAAAAAAAUUAUUUUGGCAAAAACCCAACUCUACUUCUCUAAGUAUGUAGUUAUGCUCCUAAUAGUUUUGAAGGAGCACAUUUCCCUCCAUGCUGCUCAAAAGUCAGUCUAAGGUUCUCAUUGUCAGCCUUAAAAUAACUUUCAGAAACUUUCGGGCCGCUGCCCAUUAACGCUUUAUCCAAGCCGUCUAUAGUAGAAGUAUACAGAGAUCUACAAUUGAGUUUUUAACAGGUUAUUUCCUUAAUUUACUCUGGAUAUCUUAAUAAUUUCCCACUAGUACAUGGCAUGUCAGUGCAGAACUUUCCAGUGAACUGGAUGGGACUUGGGAGCCAAACAGCUUUGUGUAGUUUGCUGCUGCAAAGAUUGAGUUGUUGAUUAGCAUCCAUAGAUGAAGUAUGCUUGCUUUAUAAUUUAUAUUAGGAAGUACUCAGUGAAACACAGUGAAAGAGCACGUUUUACAGGAGCAAAGUCAAGCAAUCCAUUUCCAGAAAGUACAACCAAAAAAAAAAAAAAAUUGGCUGAAUGAAGAACAAUGAAUUAGGAAUAUGAACUUGAAAGCAAACUAAGUGAAUAGUAUCAAAUUUUUAAAGAAUGAGAUUAAAGUCAUAUUUUGUAUGUUGGGGGCAGGGUAAAUACAGAUAAAUACAGCUCUAGGAGAAAACUGAACAGGAUGGAAUAUCAUUUAGACUUUUAGGACGACAACAGAGUGGAAGCUUUAUUUGUAGAGAGAAACAGGGUAAUCACUACACAAUUUUAGGGGCGUGGAAAGGGUAAGAUCCCAUAAAUGUUAGAAAAGUGGAAUGGAAUUUCCCAGACCUUUUAACAAAUGGAUUAGUUAGGGAAAUCUGCAAAUGCUUGAAACUUGAAUUGGUGCUACAGCAAACUUUUAAUAUUAAAUAAAAUGGUUUCAUUAAAUAACAUUGGCUUUCUCGCAUAUUGGCGUACUUUCACCCUGAUAACACUAAUUCUUCAUAUGGGUAGGUAACUUUGAAGGUGACUUGGACCUUGAUCUUAAAAUAGCGGUGUCGGAAAGUCACAAUGUGAAGGAAGCAGGCAGAAUUACAAUUACACAUCAAAGGCCACCGGAGUUUUAACUUCAAAUUGCAUGUUUCAAUUGUACAAGCUUUAGUGUUCACACCCAAACUGCAAGGGUAGGAUCUACUACAUGGAGGGUGGAGUGGCAUUCCAAUUUCAUUUAUUUUCUGCUGAAGCUGGCACACUGAAUGAAGAUUUAUAUCUUAAGUGACAGGAUUCAAACGGAACAUGACAAACCUGUAAAAGCUGCAACUUGGCAUGUCAAUGCAGAACUUUCCAAUGAACUGGAUGGGACUUGGGAGACAAACCACACACACUGCCACAUUGCGCUGGGCAGUGUGAGAGAUCAAAGAGAAAGCCCAGGGGAAAAGCAAGUCCUUGCUAGCUAACGCGUGCGUUGUGGGGGUUAGCAUAGAUUGCCAUUUUGCUUACAGAUAAAAGUAGGUAUCUCUCUUAGGCUUGCCUUACGAUGGAAAAAUUUUGUGGAGACAGGUUGCACUGACUGGAAAAAAUUAAUUUGUUUUUAAGUUAUCAAAUUUAUAAAGUAGAAGCAUUAAUUACAAAACUAGCCAUUUAACUGGAAUUUAAUCCUGACCCAGUUCCCAACAUUGGGUGGUAUUAUUUACCAAAGCAGAGAGAAAAUAAGUGUCAAAAAAAGCAGCCAGAGCAAGCACUGAUUUGAGGAGGGAACAGGUUUUACUACGUUUGGACAGGCGAGGUGGCUCUGUAAAAACAUUUUACACACUGCUGAAGGACCCUGACCACUGGGCAUGAACUAAAACAAAUUUCAGCUGUUCCCGAUACUUCCACAUUGCAUACAGCAAAUGAAAGAUCCCCCAGUGAAAGCAGAAGAGACAAAAGAUUUAGUAGGAUGCUCCCAACAGCCUGGCUGGCAGUCACUGAUCCCGAAGAAUGAAUGAAUGUUGUACUAAAUACUCCCCAAUGUUUGUUCUAAUAAUUCUCCUCAGAGUUGUCAUAACAACAAGUUUGUUUUUUAAUAAUCAGGUAAACAUUUUCUGAAUUAACCUGGUAAUCAAACCGAUUGUACUUCAAACUGAUCCUAAAGAAAGUAUAUAAUUGGAAUAGCAGUUAAGUCACAAAUGCCAAAUGAAAGCCACCAGCCAGUCACUGUAUAUUCUGCAUCAUUUAUUAAAUAUUUUUAUAUAUGCAUUUACAAACUUUACUCAUUUCAGAACUCUGCUUUCAAUGCAUUUUUAAACUUUUUUUUUGCAGAGAGAUUCUCUUGUAAAAUGAGAUCCAUGUACAAAACUAGGCAACAGAUAUAAAAGUUUCCUUUCAUACUUUUCAUCCAUCAAGAAAAGAAAUCAUGUGACAAAUAAAAUGUGGCUCUUUCAGAAGAAUAAUAUGUCUGUGUUCAACUAUGACUUCUAAUGAGAUAGUUCGUAUUUCAUCUUUAUAUGGAUGUAUAUAGUUUUAAUACUUCUUAGCUACUGUAGCAUGUUGGUUCAAAUGAAGAAAAAAAUAAACUAUUGUUUGGACUAGA
Long non-coding RNA from Cercocebus atys (sooty mangabey), 4823 nucleotides. RefSeq lists it as uncharacterized. NCBI's taxonomy places the organism in Eukaryota, Metazoa, Chordata, Mammalia, Primates, Cercopithecidae. The record is from RefSeq and is a predicted model, not a curated record. The transcript is spliced from 2 exons.